GGGAUAGGGUAGGACAAUCAAUUGCGCUAACUUCUGUUUAUAAUGCGGUAUUAAUUACUAGGGGAGGCUAGGGAUAGCAAGCCAGUAGUUAAUAUUAGUCUCUUUUUGUCGAGGGAUCGGGUUAAGGGUAGGCUAAGAAAGUCGCAUAACAAUUAAUUAAUCAAACUAAUAUUCAAGAGGAGUAGAUAAGAGAUGGCAGAUUAGAUGAAUUUGUAAACCCCCAACAACAUCCAUUCAUCCAUUGUUUUCUUUUGUCAAUUGAAUCAACUUUAUUUUGCAUGUUAAUAUUUUUGCUCUCAAAUCCAAUUUAUUAAUUUUUAUUUUCAAGUCUUAUUAUUUUAAUUCACGUGAACGAGAAAGCCUUUCGAGUCUCUUGGGAAAACGAUACUUGGUCUUACCAUUUAUAUUACUUG
RNAcentral lists this long non-coding RNA (413 nucleotides) under Vigna radiata. Its description in RNAcentral is "long non-coding RNA (VRAD_LNC012515)". Lineage: Eukaryota; Viridiplantae; Streptophyta; Magnoliopsida; Fabales; Fabaceae. The record is from RNAcentral.